Non-coding RNA from Coturnix japonica (Japanese quail), 1319 nucleotides. The record is from RefSeq and is a predicted model, not a curated record. NCBI's taxonomy places the organism in Eukaryota, Metazoa, Chordata, Aves, Galliformes, Phasianidae.
CUUAAAACUAGAGCAAGCAGUUUGCAGACUACAAGCAUACUCCAAGAAGCCAAACUUCACACCUCCAAACUUUAUUUGGACUAAAUACUGUUCUGCUAGAUAGAAGCAGUGAUUGUGCUCAUCAGACAUACUGCUGCCUCAUCAAGAAUUGCUAUGUUUAUUUUGCCAGAGGCUCUAUCUCCAGAAAGUAACCAAUGGUAAAGAAGCCCAAAUGAAACACAUCUGCAGAACAGAGACACUGUUACCCACAUCCUUCUUCUCUAUGAAGCAGAACUAUAGUAGCUUUAUUGCUUACUAAGUCUUCCAGAAACAAUGGAUGUAGAAGAACAAAGAACAUCUGAGUUCUGCUGUAGAAGCAUUUACCAGACUGUGCUGGAUAAAAUCAUACCCUUCAUCUUUUCAUUAUGUCUUUUCCCCUUGUGUGAACCUUGUGGAUGUAGGUCUCCAGCAGGGAAUUCACUCGCUUCACCAGGGGUUAUCCAGCACAGAGCAGCUCCAAGAGACUCUCCAAGCCCCAGUCAGGUGCUCUUCCAAACUCAGGCAUGAAACAGGAGGCAGCAGUACAGCGAAGAGUACUGGUGAAGAGAAAUAUUCAACAGUGUUUCCCAUUUCACAGAACAUAUCCUAAAUAUCACUCAUCAUACUACAAAGGCCUUUACUUCCUCUCUUGCAAGAAGAACUAUUGCAGUGAAGUUACAUAAUUUGUGCUAAUGAGGACUCACGUGGAGUGUUCCGUGGGAUAAGUACAAACGAUAUGCAAGCACAGAAGAGGUUUGAGACACAGGUUGUACCAGUGCUGUACCACACGAUCCAAGAAGAAAGGUUGGGACAGGUGUGCAGAGUAUAUCAAUGAGAAAGAGAGCAAAAGAUAGAAUGAAGUAAGAAAUCCUACGAUUUGAUGAUUUUAGGAAUUAUGAAAUGGGGCUGCUUACUUUCUUCCUAAAUCACUCAUUCCAAAUACUUUUUCCGAAGUCAGCAUACUUUUGCCUCCUCAAAAUACAUUCACCACUUAUGUCAGAACUUUAGCCUGUGGUAAAACUGACUUAGCUAGUUAUAAAAUAAUGGCAAAAAUUUUAGAACAAUAACUCCUAUACUAUUUGCCAUGACUAUACUGUGAAAUCAUUGUGUUGUAUUAUCAGCUACAACUCCUCAGAGAAUCUUAAUUGGAUACAAAUAGUCUAUUGAGGAUUUUGCCUGAGGUGAUACACCAUCACACUUUGAUUUUCACAUGAAAGAACGAAUAGCAUAUAAAUGUAUACUGUUUAUAAAGUGGAACUAUUUGUUGUGAGCCUUUGGAAAAAAAAAAAAGGAAAAAAAAA